RNAcentral lists this ribosomal RNA (719 nucleotides) under Pediococcus pentosaceus. Its description in RNAcentral is "bacterial SSU rRNA". It matches the Rfam family "Bacterial small subunit ribosomal RNA", at positions 426 to 1138 of the family's 1533-position model. Lineage: Bacteria; Bacillati; Bacillota; Bacilli; Lactobacillales; Lactobacillaceae. The record is from RNAcentral.
GAAAGCUCUGUUGUUAAAGAAGAACGUGGGUAAGAGUAACUGUUUACCCAGUGACGGUAUUUAACCAGAAAGCCACGGCUAACUACGUGCCAGCAGCCGCGGUAAUACGUAGGUGGCAAGCGUUAUCCGGAUUUAUUGGGCGUAAAGCGAGCGCAGGCGGUCUUUUAAGUCUAAUGUGAAAGCCUUCGGCUCAACCGAAGAAGUGCAUUGGAAACUGGGAGACUUGAGUGCAGAAGAGGACAGUGGAACUCCAUGUGUAGCGGUGAAAUGCGUAGAUAUAUGGAAGAACACCAGUGGCGAAGGCGGCUGUCUGGUCUGCAACUGACGCUGAGGCUCGAAAGCAUGGGUAGCGAACAGGAUUAGAUACCCUGGUAGUCCAUGCCGUAAACGAUGAUUACUAAGUGUUGGAGGGUUUCCGCCCUUCAGUGCUGCAGCUAACGCAUUAAGUAAUCCGCCUGGGGAGUACGACCGCAAGGUUGAAACUCAAAAGAAUUGACGGGGGCCCGCACAAGCGGUGGAGCAUGUGGUUUAAUUCGAAGCUACGCGAAGAACCUUACCAGGUCUUGACAUCUUCUGACAGUCUAAGAGAUUAGAGGUUCCCUUCGGGGACAGAAUGACAGGUGGUGCAUGGUUGUCGUCAGCUCGUGUCGUGAGAUGUUGGGUUAAGUCCCGCAACGAGCGCAACCCUUAUUACUAGUUGCCAGCAUUAAGUUGGGCAC